GUGUCAGCAGCCGCGGUAAGACGAACCGUGCGAACGUUAUUCGGAAUCAUUGGGCUUAAAGCGCGUGUAGGCGGAUGGGAACGUCGGUCGUUGAAAGCCCCCGGCUCAACCGGGGAAUUGGCACCGAAACGACCCGUCUGGAGGGGCAUAGGGGGAUCUGGAACUUCCGGUGGAGCGGUGAAAUGCGUUGAGAUCGGAAGGAACGCCCGUGGCGAAAGCGAGAUCCUGGAUGUCUUCUGACGCUGAGACGCGAAAGCUAGGGUAGCGAACGGGAUUAGAAACCCCCGUAGUCC
Molecule: ribosomal RNA, 293 nt
Filed under: uncultured bacterium
Lineage: Bacteria
Description: partial 16S ribosomal RNA
Rfam family: Bacterial small subunit ribosomal RNA
Source: RNAcentral